UAUCUACAUGUUUUUGUUGUUUUAAUAGAAUUAUCCAAAGUUACAUUUUAAGAGAAGAGUCAGGAGCACUAGUUCCACAAACCAUGGAUCAAAACAAGAUAGAGCUAUCAAAAAGAGGAGGUAUCAUGGCAUCUGUUUAUAGUUCCCAUCCUUCUGAUUCCCACAUGACGUUGGAUCUAUCCUUGGAAAUAAACCAGAAACUACAAGCUGUUCUGGAAGACACCUUACUCAAGAACAUUACUUUGAAGGAAAACAUCAAUACCUUGGGUGAGGAAAUAGCUCGAAUGUCCAAGGAAUACCGAGAGCUCCAGGGCCAAGUCCAACGAAACAAGAUUUCAACUAAAUGACCUGCUCUCUAAUCUCCGCUUCAAUUCUUCCAGUUCAAUUGUGAUGAAUAAAUGUAUUUUUGUAUAUUAAAUUUGGCCUUAUUGUUUUGUCCUUUCCUAUCAAGUACAGUUAGUGUAGUCGUAAAGUUGUACAUUAUUAGUGUCUUUAUGAUUAACAAAGACUUCUGCCUCAGUGUAUAAUUUACAAUUAUAGUAUAAGAACAUAGUAUGCUUCUAAAUGUAUUUAUAAUUAUGUUAAAGUAUAUUAUAAAAGUAUAAAUGCUUGGACUACACUGUAAUCUUCUUGAUGCUGCUUCAUGCUUUGUAUCAUAUUAAGCACGUUUCUUACCAUACAAAUCAGUAUUGAAAUAUACUAGUUGUAUCAGCCUUUCUUCAUUUUUGCCACAACCGUUAAACCCCCAUCCAGUUUGUUAACAGUAAAACUGUGGAAAAUUGCUGUGUGGGUCUUUAGCUUUUUUCUUAACCGUAGAAACAGACAUUAAUUAUAGAUAAUUUUAUUUCAAAAGACAGCCACAUAAUUUUAAGAUAAAUGAAGUCAAUUAAUUUAUGAAUACGAAAUUGAGGAAAAACAAGACAUUUCACAAGUACGUUAUUUAUUCACGACCAUGGUUUCACCAGUAGAGGCAUCAUCAUGGUGAAACCAUGGUCGCGAUUGAAUGGUUUUUUCCUCGGUUUCAUAAUUAUGAAGCUUCACCAUGUACCAACAGUUUAUCAAUUAUGUAAUUUAUGAAUCUUUAGUGUAAAGACUCUUUAAUUGAUAAAAGCUUCAAUACUUUAAUCUUGAUAUUUUCUCAAGCCUGAUGUCAUAUAGAAAAAAUUUUGAAGGAAAUGUAACGAAAUAAGAGAAAAAAUAGCGUACUAACAAUAUUUGAUUUUGUUUUUAUAAUAGCUUGGAAAGAGUGAAUAAAAUAUGUGAACCAGUCGUGUCCGGCUAAAAGAAAGAAUAUAAAGGAAAAUACAAAAGAUGAAAUGUUUAUCUAAUUAACAUUUGUCUCUAGCUGGACAAUGACCGAGUGUCUGAGGCCUUAUACUUAGAUUUCCUUAAAUGCAGUAGUAUGUUUAAAGGUUUAUUUAUUUCCAGGCAAGAUUUCCCUUGACAUUCUGCAAGUUGAACAAUAAACUGCUUUUUGUCGAUUGACUUUUCACCACAUGUAACAAAAUGUACUGUAAUGUGAAUUAUAUUGUGUACAUGUGUAUGUAGGUAUUACAACAGCAUUUGUAAAUUAGUUGUAUUAGCUUAGAUAUUAAAAUGUAUAAUGUUUAAACUCUCACUCCUAGUGUCUUCUUUUCUUUAGAACAUCCUCGUCACUUAUUAUUAUUGUUAGGUUUAAGGUCAAGAUUAGAGACUUGUAUUUUUGUUGGAAGUUAUUUUAUAUAGCAUUUUAUGUAUAUAAUUUCAUAAGAAUUUAUAUUGUAGUGGUAAUUUUUGCAGUUAGUUUCAAUUUGUGUUUUUGAUGAAACAGUUUUUUUGGCUAUUAAAUGUGAUUAAAAAAAAAAACAAGCUUAGAACUCAAUUUAAGCAUUUGGUAGGUGAGUAACAAUAUUUAUAAGUUAUUUUUUAAGUAUUCAUAGAUGUAUAUGACAAAAGCCACAAAUAGAAGUUUUAAAUUUUGAAAGUAUUACAAUCAAAAUUAAAAGUAUGUUAAAGAACCUCAAAAUGUGUCAAAUUGUAAACUAUGUAUUUCAAACCCCAUUGCUUAUAACUUGUGUUAAUUAAAAAGGUUCUAUUUCAUGUAAAGGAUUAAACUGUGUACCCAACAGGCUUUUCCAUACAUUUUAAGAGAUGAAUAAUAUAUGAUAGUCUUCUUUAAAUAAGUGUAGGAUUUUCUUAAUUACACAAAUUUCUUCUGUGUAAAUGAUCAAUAACACAGAAGAAAUUCUGAAAUUAAGGAAAUUCUACUCUUAAUCGAAGGAUAUUUCAAGAUUAUUUAAAGUCACAUUUUAAAUCCAGGGUUAAUACUUCUUGUAACUCAACAUUGAACUUUGCAGCAAACUACUUGUAACAAAAAAAAAAACUGUGAGGAUGAUUUGGUUAAUACAUAAAAAGAUAUAUAGCUUAUUUUUUGUUUUUUCUUAACAAAUUCUACUUUUGUCUGGCAUUUAGUGUUAUUUAUUUGAUAGUCUGUAAUUAUAGGUGGUGAUAUGAUUUGGUUAGUAUUUUAUUUUUUACAAUUAUAUAUAAAGAUUCUUUAAAACUUGGAAAAUGUGUUUCUAAAAGUUACAUUGGCUUUGGACAUAGAACAGGCAAGUGUAUUGUUGUUUUUUUUUAAUGAAAGUUAGUACAUGUAAGUACCUUAAAUGAGAAUGUUUUAUUCUGACAAGAUUACCUUGUAAAGGAUGGAGACUAAAAUAUUUAUUUCCACCUCUGAAUCAGUAGGUUUACACAUUUGUAACAUAGAUGUUUGUUUUCUGUUGUUGUUGUUUUUUGUACUGGAUGUUAAACACUGAUGUUACCUGUCACAGGAAUAAUGGAAUGAUUAUUUCUUCUUCUACCUUUCCUAAAAUACCAAAAGUAUUGGAGGAUAAGAUAUUGUUUUCUGUCACAUUCUUCUACUACUUUUAUCCUCUUUAUCUUUUUUUUUCGAGAAGUAAUUCAUAAAUUUUGUGCCUUAUUUCGAGGUACAGUUUACUACUUUGAUACUUGUACACACUGUAUUUCUGUUAUUUAACACAUGUGUAAUGUAUCCUUGUUAUGUGUAAUUUUGUUGCAAUGAUUGAUACUACCAGGGACACUGUCAGUUAUUGAAACUUUGUUGUGAUAUAAAUAAAGCUCUACUUACUCAUACAUGGACCAA
This 3142-nucleotide unclassified non-coding RNA is filed under the name Limulus polyphemus (Atlantic horseshoe crab). RNAcentral's name for it is "coiled-coil domain-containing protein 186-like, transcript variant X1". The record is from RNAcentral. Lineage: Eukaryota; Metazoa; Arthropoda; Merostomata; Xiphosura; Limulidae.